RNAcentral lists this small nuclear RNA (353 nucleotides) under Octodon degus (degu). RNAcentral's name for it is "7SK RNA (ENSODEG00000023122.1)". It matches the Rfam family "7SK RNA". Rfam says of the family: 7SK was discovered as an abundant small nuclear RNA in the mid-70s but a possible function has only recently been suggested. Two independent studies have found that 7SK RNA binds the CDK9/cyclin T complex (known as elongation factor P-TEFb). Lineage: Eukaryota; Metazoa; Chordata; Mammalia; Rodentia; Octodontidae. The record is from RNAcentral.
GAUGUGAGGGCGAUCUGGCUGUGACAUCUGUCACUCUGUUGAGUGCUGGGGUUGAUCUGGCUGAUCUGGCUGGCUAGCUGGCAGGUGUCCCCUUCUUCCCUCACUGCCACAUAUGUGUCUCUCCUGAAGCUGCACACUUGGUUGAAGAAGAUGACCACCCCAUCCAGGAGGACCCUUCCUCAGUCAGGUGUGUAGGAGCAGCCGUGCUCCCCUGCUUGAGCCUCCAAACAUGCUCUCAAGGUCCUUUCCUCAUGAAUUGAAGAUGUCUGGUAUUCUGUCCCAGUAACAGGGAAGUGACAAAUACAGAUUCAGAGGAUGUCAAAGGGAAGAUAUAUGUGAUUGUCCCUUGAUUG